CGGAAAUCCGUGUUGUCUCCGGGUGCAUCCCAAGUCUCCAUGUUAAGCUGGAAGUCAGGUCUUUUAUCGAAAUGAGGAGAUUCGGUGAAGAAGAUCCAACGAUUCCAGUCGAUGACGAGCCUCUGAGCUUGAUUUCCAGGAACCCCCAGAUCUACAUUGCCACUGAAAGAAUCGCAUCAGCUUUGUGGUGGGAUCCUGCCAGUCACCCGGACAGGCGCGUCCCCGGCCAGACCCCUAGUCUGACGAACAUUUGGCCGGUCAGGCUAGACGUCUAGGGGAGUGUGUGGUGGCCCGGACAGGCCAGAGACAGGAAAGAGGACUUCUAAAUCAGCCAGCAAUCCAAAGGCCUUCCAUAAAUCCUCCAAAUGGGCUCGGGUGGGGGACGUAAAGCACACCUGCAAGACUUAUAUGCCGGCCCUGUAUGGAGUGACUCCUCAGCAGUCACAGAGACAGAGACCAGUACGAGCAACACGGGGAAUAUUUGUAGGAAAUCAGAGUUCCUGAGCUCCUGAGCCCCGGUGCCACCGGCUGCUACCUCGAGCUGACACUGAUGUCUGCUGUCACCCCUGUUGCAGCUGCAGAUCUUGUCUCAGGGGCAGAUGAGUUGCUCCUGAUGACCCUCCCUGUGGUUUUACAGCUGUUCCUACAGCGUUUUCUUGAGGACAGAUGAGU
This is a long non-coding RNA of Sebastes umbrosus (honeycomb rockfish), 672 nucleotides long. RefSeq lists it as uncharacterized. The record is from RefSeq and is a predicted model, not a curated record. Lineage: Eukaryota; Metazoa; Chordata; Actinopteri; Perciformes; Sebastidae. The transcript is spliced from 6 exons.